GUGGCUCGAACAAUAUGGUUAUGGGCAAAAGCAGAGAAAUAAAAUAAUUUUAAUUAAUAUAUUCAAAGUAACAGAAGACAAAAUAGAGAAAAUAGCUAAAUUGGACUCUAUAAAAAAAGAGUUGAGUGCAUGUCUGAAAACUGAAAUAAAGGUAAUAAUUGGAGUGGUAGCCCAUAGAUGGACUUGAAAAGCAUAGCAGAGUUGAAAAUUAGUAAAUUGAAGGAAAAAGGUUCAAAAGGAAAUGUCUAAACAAUAGCAGAGAGGAAAAACAAAGAGUGAAAAUAGUGAAACAAAUGUAAGAGGCAUUCUAGGUACAGUGAAAUCAUCUGCUGAACAUGAACUGAGAACUCAGAAAUGGAAAAGACACAGAACAAAAGAGUUAUAUAUGCAGAUAUGAUACAAGAAUUCACCAGUAUAGCUAAGGUUUUUUUAAUUUUACCUGAUGAAAUAUAUUAAUCCACAAAUUCAAGAAUGUUUGAAUUUAAGGAGGAUAAAUUAAAAAAAAAAAACAUGCCUUGGAACAUCAUAGUACAAUUGAAGAAAAAUAAAGACAAAAGAAAAAUCUUAAAAUCAACCAGAGACAAAGAUCUUUGACAGUAAUAAUAAGACUGACAGGUUUGGUAGAAGUUAAAAGUCAAAAGAAUAACAAGCUAAAUUGUUGAUCUACCAAACACAAAUUGUAUAUAUAGUUUAAAUAUUCUUGAAUGCCACAAAUUAAAAGUGCCAGGUAUUUAAAAUAGAAAUCAGAAACUAGAUUCACCUCUUUACAUUUACUUCUUUGACUUCAACUAAGCAGAAAUUUUAAAGUUACUAAGUCCACUAAGACAUCAUAUUUGUCAGAUAGUUUCCCUCUAUUUUCCAAAUCACUUUUGUACAUUAACUCAUUUGCUAUGUACUACCUCCUCCCUCAGUGAAAAAGCAAGACAAAUAUAUUAUCAUCUUUAUUUUAUGUAAAUGAAAGUAAGUUCAAAGAGAUUUUUUUCCUCUAAGAGAUGACAAAGUCAAAACUUAAAUGCAUAUUUCCCACCUAGUGUUCAUCAUUUGGAGACUACAAAGUAGGAAAUCAAUUAAAAACUUCAUAGAAGGGCCCAUUAAGUUGCAAAAAUGUAUCCAACACAUAACAAAAGGACAAUGGAAAAUUCUGAAGAAUUUUGCUUAAAAUUCCUUUAAUUUUAUGAAAACUCCAUUAUCUUUACCCUCUAAGUAAGAUAGCACCACAUUCCUCAAUAAUUUCCUGUAACUAUUGACUUUCAUUUUUAAUCUGUAAUUUCAGAAGAAGCUAAGAUGCUAAAACCUUUCAGCUUUACUGAUGGGUUUCCAUUUCAAAGGCCUACCCCAAAGUUAAAACCAUCAUGUUUUGUGAUCCAUAAGCAUCUUUAAGCUUGAAAAAGCCAUAAGACCUCCUUAUAGAAAGGUUACAAGACAACAUUUGAUGGAGUUCAAGGUACAAUUUUGCCACAAGGAAGGUGAAACAAAUUUCAUAUCAUAGAGUUUCUAUGAUAUGAGUAUCUUUAAAUCAACCAACUGGAACAUUGAAAGCAAGAUGCCAUCAAAUAGGAUGAACUUGUUCCUCAUACAUAAUCUUAUGUUAGACGAAACACCAACAUAAUGCUCUUUCCAUGACCUUGGAACAUCACUCUCACCCACUCUGGACAAGAAGCGGUGGCUUUGUUUUUGUCUUAUAAUACAACUUCUUUCUCUUCUUCCUCAUCUUUCUGAGUCUUUGUGUAACAAAAUAGCUAAGGUUCUUUAUUGUAAAAUAUAUGAAAAAAACAUUAG
RNAcentral lists this long non-coding RNA (1779 nucleotides) under Marmota monax (woodchuck). The record is from RNAcentral. Lineage: Eukaryota; Metazoa; Chordata; Mammalia; Rodentia; Sciuridae.